RNAcentral lists this ribosomal RNA (523 nucleotides) under uncultured bacterium. Its description in RNAcentral is "partial 16S ribosomal RNA". It matches the Rfam family "Bacterial small subunit ribosomal RNA", at positions 355 to 868 of the family's 1533-position model. The record is from RNAcentral.
UGGGGAAUAUUGCACAAUGGGCGCAAGCCUGAUGCAGCCGUGCCGCGUGUAUGAAGAAGGCCUUCGGGUUGUAAAGUACUUUCAGCGAGGAGGAAGGCAUUAAGGUUAAUAACCUUAGUGAUUGACGUUACUCGCAGAAGAAGCACCGGCUAACUCCGUGCCAGCAGCCGCGGUAAUACGGAGGGUGCAAGCGUUAAUCGGAAUUACUGGGCGUAAAGCGCACGCAGGCGGUCUGUUAAGUCAGAUGUGAAAUCCCCGGGCUCAACCUGGGAACUGCAUUUGAAACUGGCAGGCUUGAGUCUUGUAGAGGGGGGUAGAAUUCCAGGUGUAGCGGUGAAAUGCGUAGAGAUCUGGGGGAAUACCGGUGGCGAAGGCGGCCCCCGUGGACAAAGACUGACGCUCAGGUGCGAAAGCGUGGGGAGCAAACAGGAUUAGAUACCCGUGGUAGUCCACGCUGUAAACGAUGUCGACUUGGAGGUUGUUCCCUUGAGGAGUGGCUUCCGGAGCUAACGCGUUAAGUCGA